Molecule: ribosomal RNA, 253 nt
Filed under: uncultured bacterium
Lineage: Bacteria
Description: partial 16S ribosomal RNA
Rfam family: Bacterial small subunit ribosomal RNA
Source: RNAcentral
UACGUAGGGGGCAAGCGUUAUCCGGAUUUAUUGGGCGUAAAGAGCUCGUAGGCGGCCGUUCGCGUCGGAUGUGAAAGCUCAGGGCUCAACUCUGAGAUGCCAUUCGAUACGGGACGGCUAGAGGUAGGUAGGGGAGAGUGGAAUUCCUGGUGUAGCGGUGAAAUGCGCAGAUAUCAGGAGGAACACCGGUGGCGAAGGCGGAUCUCUGGACGGUUUCUGACACUAAGACACGAAAGCGUGGGGAGCAAACAGG